AAGGCCUGAGGGAAGGAAGGCUUUCAAACACUGCCCUUAUUUCUCCUGAAAUACUCUGAUCUUUUCAAAGAAAACAGAAAGGCAUUUUCUUUAAGUGAGUAUAAACUCAAAUGCACAAUUUGAAAAUCAUGUUGCUUACCCAGUCUAAAUACACUCCAUUUAAUUCACAGCUUCUUACUUUGCAAAAAAGAAGCUAUGUAAACCGGAGUGAAUACCGUUUCUUUAAUCACCAUCUCCUUUUCCUCAGGGCUAUACCCAGCUAGUCAGAGGCUAACACACACUUUUGCUAUGGGGGGAAAAUGGAAAGAAUCAAAUGCUGAGACCUCAUUAGGCGCUGCUUAUGCUACUUACACAGUCUCCACACUUGCUUCCUCUGCACUGUUAAUGAUCCUGACCAUAUGCUGGUAUAGCAGAGCCUUGGGGCAUGAGGGGCUAGGAAGACCUGCUUUCCCUUGUAGGGCUCAGGCCUGUGAGUCUCUCUGCAUAGGGUCCAUGUGUUACAGUGGAAAUGAAGGGAGGGUUCUAUCAAACUGAUCUAUGUGAGACCCACUCUGUGACAUGAGAGACCCUAGGCAAGUUAUGCAGCUACAAUUUUUUUAAUUCUAAAAUAGGUCUUGCUGGGUGCAGUGGUGCAUGCCUAUAAUCAGCUGUUCAGGAGGCUGAGGCAGGAGGAUUGCAAAUUUGAGGCCAGCCUCAACAACUUAGA
RNAcentral lists this long non-coding RNA (706 nucleotides) under Marmota monax (woodchuck). The record is from RNAcentral. Lineage: Eukaryota; Metazoa; Chordata; Mammalia; Rodentia; Sciuridae.